Molecule: ribosomal RNA, 440 nt
Filed under: uncultured bacterium
Lineage: Bacteria
Description: partial 16S ribosomal RNA
Rfam family: Bacterial small subunit ribosomal RNA
Source: RNAcentral
CCUACGGGAGGCAGCAGUGGGGGAUAUUGCACAAUGGGGGGAACCCUGAUGCAGCGACGCCGCGUGGGUGAAGGAGCGUUUCGGCGCGUAAAGCCCUAUCGGCAGGGAAGAAGAUGACGGUACCUGACAAAGAAGCCCAGGCUAACUACGUGCCAGCAGCCGCGGGAAUACGUAGGGGGCAAGCGUUAUCAGGAUUUACUGGGUGUAAAGGGGGCGCAGACGGCAAUGCAAGCCAGGAGUGAAAGCCCGGGGCCCAACCCCGGGACUGCUCUUGGAACUGCAUGGCUGGAGUACAGGAGGGGCAGGCGGAAUGCCUAGUGUAGCCGUGAAAUGCGUAGAUAUUAGGCGGAACACCGGUGGCGAAGGCGGCCUGCUGGACUGUGACUGACGUUGAGGCCCGAAGGCGUGGGGAGCAAACAGGAUUAGAUACCCUUGUAGUC